This 433-nucleotide ribosomal RNA is filed under the name uncultured organism. RNAcentral describes it as "bacterial SSU rRNA". It matches the Rfam family "Bacterial small subunit ribosomal RNA", at positions 8 to 485 of the family's 1533-position model. The record is from RNAcentral.
AGAGUUUGAUCGUGGCUCAGAGCGAACGCUGGCGGCAGGCUUAACACAUGCAAGUCGAACGGGCUUCUUCGGAAGUCAGUGGCAGACGGGUGAGUAACACGUGGGAACGUGCCCUUCGGUUCGGAAUAACUCAGGGAAACUUGAGCUAAUACCGGAUACGCCCUUUUGGGGAAAGGUUGACUGCCGAAGGAUCGGCCCGCGUCUGAUUAGCUUGUUGGUGGGGUAACGGCCUACCAAGGCGACGAUCAGUAGCUGGUCUGAGAGGAUGAUCAGCCACACUGGGACUGAGACACGGCCCAGACUCCUACGGGAGGCAGCAGUGGGGAAUAUUGGACAAUGGGCGCAAGCCUGAUCCAGCCAUGCCGCGUGAGUGAUGAAGGCCUCAGGGUUGUAAAGCUCUUUUGUCCGGGACGAUAAUGACGGUACCGAAGAA